RNAcentral lists this ribosomal RNA (274 nucleotides) under uncultured bacterium. RNAcentral describes it as "partial 16S ribosomal RNA". It matches the Rfam family "Bacterial small subunit ribosomal RNA", at positions 523 to 796 of the family's 1533-position model. The record is from RNAcentral.
AUACGGAGGGUGCAAGCGUUAAUCGGAAUUACUGGGCGUAAAGAGUACGUAGGUGGUUUAUUAAGUCAGAUGUGAAAGCCCCGGGCUUAACCUGGGAACUGCAUUCGAAACUGAUUGACUAGAGUAUGGUAGAGGGUAGUGGAAUUCCUAGUGUAGCGGUGAAAUGCGUAGAUAUUAGGAGGAACAUCAGUGGCGAAGGCGACUACCUGGACCAAUACUGACGCUGAGGUGCGAAAGCGUGGGGAGCAAACAGGAUUAGAAACCCGGGUAGUCC